GAUGAACGCUGGCGGCGUGCCUAAUACAUGCAAGUCGAGCGAACGGACGAGAAGCUUGCUUCUCUGAUGUUAGCGGCGGACGGGUGAGUAACACGUGUAUAACCUACCUAUAAUACUGGGAUAACUUCGGGAAACCGGAGCUAAUCCCGGAUAAUAUUUUGAACCGCAUUGUUCAAAAGUGAAAGACGGUCUUGCUGUCACUUAUAGAUGGAUCCGCGCUUCAUUAGCUAGUUGUUAAGUUAACGGCUUACCAAGGCAACGACGCAUAGACGACGUGAGAGGCUGAUAGGCCACACUGGAAGUGGGACGCGGUCAAGACUACUACGGGAGGCAGCAGAAGGGAAUGUGAGGCAAUGGGCGAGAGCCUGACGGAGUAACGGGGCGUGAGUGAUGAAGGUCUUCGGAGCGUAAAGCUCUGUUAUUAGGGAAGAACAGAUGUGUAAGUAACUGUGCACAGCGUGACGGUACCUAAUCAGAAAGCCACGGCUUACUACGUG
This 497-nucleotide ribosomal RNA is filed under the name uncultured bacterium. RNAcentral describes it as "partial 16S ribosomal RNA". It matches the Rfam family "Bacterial small subunit ribosomal RNA", at positions 28 to 507 of the family's 1533-position model. The record is from RNAcentral.